UAAUAAGUGUUCAUGGCACUUCUUAAAUCCAUAUCCACCUUGUGUGCAAUGUCAGCCGUUUUCUUUAUGAAAGCGGCCAAACAUCAACUUAUUUUUUAACUGUCUGUUUGAAAACUAUUAUGAAUAAACAAUUCAAAUA
This 139-nucleotide unclassified non-coding RNA is filed under the name soil metagenome. Its description in RNAcentral is "partial internal transcribed spacer 1". The record is from RNAcentral.